This 828-nucleotide ribosomal RNA is filed under the name Triticum aestivum (bread wheat). Its description in RNAcentral is "partial small subunit ribosomal RNA". The record is from RNAcentral. Lineage: Eukaryota; Viridiplantae; Streptophyta; Magnoliopsida; Poales; Poaceae.
AUGCCGACGCUACACGGACCCGUUCUGUUCGUCAGGCCCGGUGCUUACCAAGAGCUGAAACCGUUCCCGAAAAACGCCGCUGGUUCGUGUAGCAAUUUAUUGGGUUGCAACACAAUUUGUAGUUCCGUCGAAGACCAUCAUGUACAGAAACCACACAUUGUUUCCAGCUUCAGAGUUAACUUUACCAGAGUCAGCCAUUAUCUUCAGAGAAGCUUAAAUGAGAGAACUACACGGCACUGGCUGCAUCGGUUUCAUGUUAAUGCUUCAUCGGACGAGGACUUCCGCUCGUCGCGUAAUAUAGCAACCAGCCUGUUCAAGCAGUAUAAGAAUGUCAUUGAUCGAGGAGGUGGAGAUAACAUAAAAGGGUUUGUUAGUGCUGGGGUGCAAGCAUAUGCCCUAGGCUGUACAGAAGAGGGGCUUAGAAAGGAACUUAUGGAUAUAAAAAAUUCUGGUGUCAAGAUCGAAGGCCUGCAAUCCUAUGGAGGAACAAGCUUGAGCUUCAAAGUUCGUUCUUUUGAGGUAAAGGAGUGCAUCCUGUGGCUCAGUAUAGUGUUCAUUACAAUCUUGUGCACGCCACAGCCGACGGUCAUCAGGUGGUCUACCACCCCACCGGUGUCGGCGGAUGUCUUGCAUCAGUGGAAAGGAUUUUGUGCCCUGAUAGCAAACGCUUACUACACCAAGGGCAUGGCAUGGCUACCAGUGAAAACAUUGCAGCUGGAACAGAUGGCUGUGACAGGCAGUUCGGAGGAGCCAUCGCUAGUAGCAAGUCGGAUGCAGUUAGUUUUCAGUACAUUAGAGGUAGUCAGCCCCCAAUGGCCAAGAGUGUGA